Molecule: ribosomal RNA, 542 nt
Filed under: Bifidobacterium breve
Lineage: Bacteria; Bacillati; Actinomycetota; Actinomycetes; Bifidobacteriales; Bifidobacteriaceae
Description: bacterial SSU rRNA
Rfam family: Bacterial small subunit ribosomal RNA
Source: RNAcentral
CGGGUGGUAAUGCCGGAUGCUCCAUCACACUGCAUGGUGUGUUGGGAAAGCCUUUGCGGCAUGGGAUGGGGUCGCGUCCUAUCAGCUUGAUGGCGGGGUAACGGCCCACCAUGGCUUCGACGGGUAGCCGGCCUGAGAGGGCGACCGGCCACAUUGGGACUGAGAUACGGCCCAGACUCCUACGGGAGGCAGCAGUGGGGAAUAUUGCACAAUGGGCGCAAGCCUGAUGCAGCGACGCCGCGUGAGGGAUGGAGGCCUUCGGGUUGUAAACCUCUUUUGUUAGGGAGCAAGGCAUUUUGUGUUGAGUGUACCUUUCGAAUAAGCACCGGCUAACUACGUGCCAGCAGCCGCGGUAAUACGUAGGGUGCAAGCGUUAUCCGGAAUUAUUGGGCGUAAAGGGCUCGUAGGCGGUUCGUCGCGUCCGGUGUGAAAGUCCAUCGCUUAACGGUGGAUCCGCGCCGGGUACGGGCGGGCUUGAGUGCGGUAGGGGAGACUGGAAUUCCCGGUGUAACGGUGGAAUGUGUAGAUAUCGGAAAAAAAAA